This 85-nucleotide transfer RNA is filed under the name Brucella sp. 10RB9210. RNAcentral's name for it is "tRNA-Leu". It matches the Rfam family "tRNA". From Rfam's summary of the family: Transfer RNA (tRNA) molecules are approximately 80 nucleotides in length. Their secondary structure includes four short double-helical elements and three loops (D, anti-codon, and T loops). The record is from RNAcentral. Lineage: Bacteria; Pseudomonadati; Pseudomonadota; Alphaproteobacteria; Hyphomicrobiales; Brucellaceae.
GCGGGUGUGGCGAAACUGGUAGACGCACUUGAUUUAGGUUCAAGCGCCGAGAGGCGUGGGGGUUCGACUCCCUCCACCCGCACCA